RNAcentral lists this ribosomal RNA (1019 nucleotides) under Staphylococcus saprophyticus. RNAcentral's name for it is "bacterial SSU rRNA". It matches the Rfam family "Bacterial small subunit ribosomal RNA", at positions 264 to 1282 of the family's 1533-position model. The record is from RNAcentral. Lineage: Bacteria; Bacillati; Bacillota; Bacilli; Caryophanales; Staphylococcaceae.
GUUACCAAGGCGACGAUACGUAGCCGACCUGAGAGGGUGAUCGGCCACACUGGAACUGAGACACGGUCCAGACUCCUACGGGAGGCAGCAGUAGGGAAUCUUCCGCAAUGGGCGAAAGCCUGACGGAGCAACGCCGCGUGAGUGAUAAGGGUUUCGGCUCGUAAAACUCUGUUAUUAGGGAAGAACAAACGUGUAAGUAACUGUGCACGUCUUGACGGUACCUAAUCAGAAAGCCACGGCUAACUACGUGCCAGCAGCCGCGGUAAUACGUAGUGGCAAGCGUUAUCCGGAAUUAUUGGGCGUAAAGCGCGCGUAGGCGGUUUCUUAAGUCUGAUGUGAAAGCCCACGGCUCAACCGUGGAGGGUCAUUGGAAACUGGGAAACUUGAUGCAGAAGAGGAAAGUGGAAUUCCAUGUGUAGCGGUGAAAUGCGCAGAGAUAUGGAGGAACACCAGUGGCGAAGGCGACUUUCUGGUCUGUAACUGACGCUGAUGUGCGAAAGCGUGGGGAUCAAACAGGAUUAGAUACCCUGGUAGUCACGCCGUAAACGAUGAGUGCUAAGUGUUAGGGGGUUUCCGCCCCUUAGUGCUGCAGCUAACGCAUUAAGCACUCCGCCUGGGGAGUACGACCGCAAGGUUGAACUCAAAGGAAUUGACGGGGACCCGCACAAGCGGUGGAGCAUGUGGUUUAAUUCGAGCAACGCGAAGAACCUUACCAAAUCUUGACAUCCUUUGAAAACUCUAGAGAUAGAGCCUUCCCCUUCGGGGGACAAAGUGACAGGUGGUGCAUGGUUGUCGUCAGCUCGUGUCGUGAGAUGUUGGGUUAAGUCCCGCAACGAGCGCAACCCUUAAGCUUAGUUGCCAUCAUUAAGUUGGGCACUCUAGGUUGACUGCCGGUGACAAACCGGAGGAAGGUGGGGUGACGUCAAAUCAUCAUGCCCCUUAUGAUUUGGCUACACACGUGCUACAAUGGACAAUACAAAGGGCAGCUAAACCGCGAGGUCAUGCAAAUCCCAUAAAGU